GUGUGUGCGCGCGUGUGUGCGUGUGUUGGUGUGUGUGUGUGUGUGUGCGUGUGUGUGUCUUUGUGUGCGUUCUAUUAAUAUCUCCCAGUGGCGGACAGAGGGGACGAUGGCUGGCGGGUUAUAUAUCUGGACACAUUCUUUCCCUUCAUCUUCAUUCUUUCCAUCUUCCGCAGCAGCAGCAGCAGCAGCAGCAGCAGGAGAAUCAGAGCCAGAAAGCGAGGCUCUAUUUCGGGAGACAAUCCCUCCGUGCCUCUCAGAGCUCUCUGGAAUCUGGCGGGAGAAAGCCGCCGUCGCCGCAGACGGUGUGACAUUCCCCGACGGGCCGCGUCAUCCCCUUCGCCGUGUUCCGUCCGCCGUCACCCUUCUUAUUUCGGUCGCGUGCCUGUCAGCGCCGGGAAGUGGCGGGCGGACAAAGACCAGAUCAAGCCUGACCAGCAUGAUUGCCGAGCAAGU
This is a long non-coding RNA of Anguilla rostrata (American eel), 453 nucleotides long. RefSeq lists it as uncharacterized. The record is from RefSeq and is a predicted model, not a curated record. The transcript has 3 exons. Lineage: Eukaryota; Metazoa; Chordata; Actinopteri; Anguilliformes; Anguillidae.